AAAAAAAAAAUCUUUAUUUACUGUUAGGCUAAUUUGGAAUUGGCAGUGAUUGAUGCAAGAUUAUACAGAUAUUUUCUUUCCACUAGGAGGUGGAAUCUGUUUGGCAAGAAAUUACCCAGUUUUAUUAGUUGGUAGGUAGGUAUGUCUCUCAUCCUCUCUUUGUGAUUGCCUGAGAUGAGUGAUUGAACCAUUUGUGGCUUUUGUUUAAAUUGAUGCUCUCUAAUUUCUCUAAAGGACUGAUAUUUUAUAUUUGUUUAUAAAGACAAAUCAAAUUUGCAACACAAUUUGGUUGGGUCCUUGGUUUUAGAGAUUAAGACAAUACCUAAAUAGAA
Molecule: unclassified non-coding RNA, 332 nt
Filed under: Hevea brasiliensis (rubber tree)
Lineage: Eukaryota; Viridiplantae; Streptophyta; Magnoliopsida; Malpighiales; Euphorbiaceae
Source: RNAcentral